AGAGUUUGAUCCUGGCUCAGGACGAACGCUGGCGGCGUGCUUAACACAUGCAAGUCGAACGAGAAUCUAUUGAAGGAGUUUUCGGACAACGGAUAUAGAGGACAGUGGCGGACGGGUGAGUAACGCGUGAGGAACCUGCCUUUCAGAGGGGGACAACAGUUGGAAACGACUGCUAAUACCGCAUGACACAUAGGUGUCGCAUGGCACUUAUGUCAAAGAUUUAUCGCUGAAAGAUGGCCUCGCGUCUGAUUAGCUAGUUGGUGAGGUAACGGCCCACCAAGGCGACGAUCAGUAGCCGGACUGAGAGGUUGAACGGCCACAUUGGGACUGAGAUACGGCCCAGACUCCUACGGGAGGCAGCAGUGGGGAAUAUUGGGCAAUGGGCGCAAGCCUGACCCAGCAACGCCGCGUGAAGGAAGAAGGCUUUCGGGUUGUAAACUUCUUUUGUCAGGGACGAGUAGAAGACGGUACCUGACGAAUAAGCCACGGCUAACUACGUGCCAGCAGCCGCGGU
This 514-nucleotide ribosomal RNA is filed under the name uncultured human intestinal bacterium. RNAcentral describes it as "bacterial SSU rRNA". It matches the Rfam family "Bacterial small subunit ribosomal RNA", at positions 8 to 521 of the family's 1533-position model. The record is from RNAcentral.